Molecule: ribosomal RNA, 467 nt
Filed under: uncultured bacterium
Lineage: Bacteria
Description: partial 16S ribosomal RNA
Rfam family: Bacterial small subunit ribosomal RNA
Source: RNAcentral
GACGAACGCUGGCGGCGUGCUUAACGCAUGCAAGUCGAACGGAAAGGCCCUGCUUUUGUGGGGUGCUCGAGUGGCGAACGGGUGAGUAACACGUGAGUAACCUGCCCUUGACUUUGGGAUAACUUCAGGAAACUGGGGCUAAUACCGGAUAGGAGCUCCUGCUGCAUGGUGGGGGUUGGAAAGUUUCGGCGGUUGGGGAUGGACUCGCGGCUUAUCAGCUUGUUGGUGGGGUAGUGGCUUACCAAGGCUUUGACGGGUAGCCGGCCUGAGAGGGUGACCGGCCACAUGGGGACUGAGAUACGGCCCAGACUCCUACGGGAGGCAGCAGUGGGGAAUAUUGCACAAUGGGCGGAAGCCGGAUGCAGAAACGCCGCGUGCGGGAUGACGGCCUUCGGGUUGUAAACCGCUUUCGCCUGUGACGAAGCGUGAGUGACGGUAAUGGGGAAAGAAGCACCGGCUAACUACGU